UAAAACGUAGGAGCCAAGCGUUAUCCGAAUUCACUGGGCGUAAAGCGCGUGCAGGCGGCCUGGUAAGUUGGAUGUGAAAUCUCCUGGCUCAACUGGGAGAGGCCGUUCAAUACUGCUGGGCUAGAGGGCGACAGAGGGAGGUGGAAUUCCGGGUGUAGUGGUGAAAUGCGUAGAUAUCCGGAGGAACACCAGAGGCGAAGGCGACCUCCUGGGUCGUACCUGACGCUCAGACGCGAAAGCUAGGGGAGCGAACGGGAUUAGAAACCCCGGUAGUCCUAGCCGUAAACGAUGUAGACUGGGUGUCGGCGGGGUAAAAGCCGUCGGUGCCGAAGCCAACGCGAUAAGUCUACCGCCUGGGGACUACGGCCGCAAGGUUAAAACUUAAAGGAAUUGACGG
Molecule: ribosomal RNA, 397 nt
Filed under: uncultured bacterium
Lineage: Bacteria
Description: bacterial SSU rRNA
Rfam family: Bacterial small subunit ribosomal RNA
Source: RNAcentral